Molecule: small nucleolar RNA, 103 nt
Organism: Urocitellus parryii (Arctic ground squirrel)
Lineage: Eukaryota; Metazoa; Chordata; Mammalia; Rodentia; Sciuridae
Source: Ensembl
AUAGCCUUUUCCUGUGUACUUUAAAGGUUGAUGCAGCAGAUAGGUUAAAAUCUAGAGAGGAGAUUGCAGAACUCCUCUUUGGAUCCUGGCCGGUGUCACAGCU